RNAcentral lists this ribosomal RNA (449 nucleotides) under uncultured bacterium. RNAcentral's name for it is "partial 16S ribosomal RNA". It matches the Rfam family "Bacterial small subunit ribosomal RNA", at positions 29 to 523 of the family's 1533-position model. The record is from RNAcentral.
AAUGAACGCUGGCGGCAGGCCUAACACAUGCAAGUCGAACGGAUCCUUCGGGAUUAGUGGCGGACGGGUGAGUAACGCGUGGGAACAUACCCAAAGGUACGGAAUAGCCUCGGGAAACUGGGAGUAAUACCGUAUGUGCUCGAAAGAGGAAAGAUUUAUCGCCUUUGGAUUGGCCCGCGUUGGAUUAGGUAGUUGGUGGGGUAAUGGCCUACCAAGCCGACGAUGCAUAGCUGGUUUGAGAGGAUGAUCAGCCACACUGGGACUGAGACACGGCACAGACCCCUACGGGAGGCAGCAGUGGGGAAGCUUAGACACUGGGGGAAACCCUGAUCUAGCCAUGCCGCGUGAUCGAUGAAGGACUGAGGGAUGUAAAGAUCUUUCAGGUGGGAAGAUAAUGACUGUACCACCAGAAGAAGCCCCGGCUAACUCCGUGCCAGCCGCCGCAGUAA